CCUACGGGUGGCAGCAGUGGGGAAUAUUGGGCAAUGGGCGCAAGCCUGACCCAGCAACGCCGCGUGAAGGAAGAAGGCCUUCGGGUUGUAAACUUCUUUUGUCAGGGACGCAGAAAGUGACGGUACCUGACGAAUAAGCCACGGCUAACUACGUGCCAGCAGCCGCGGUAAUACGUAGGGGGCAAGCGUUAUCCGGAUUUACUGGGGGUAAAGGGCGUGUAGGCGGGAGAGCAAGUCCGACGUGAAAUUCCAGGGCUCAACCCUGGAACUGCGUUUGAAACUGUUCUUCUUGAGUGAUGGAGAGGCAGGCGGAAUUCGGUGUGUAGCGGUGAAAUGCGUAGAUAGACGGAGGAACACCAGUGGCGAAGGCGGCCUGCUGGACAUUAACUGACGCUGAGGCGCGAAAGCGUGGGGAGCAAACAGGAUUAGAUACCCUGGUAGUC
This 443-nucleotide ribosomal RNA is filed under the name uncultured bacterium. RNAcentral's name for it is "partial 16S ribosomal RNA". It matches the Rfam family "Bacterial small subunit ribosomal RNA", at positions 338 to 795 of the family's 1533-position model. The record is from RNAcentral.